CACGCAGGCGGUCUGUCAAGUCGGAUGUGAAAUCCCCGGGCUCAACCUGGGAACUGCAUUCGAAACUGGCAGGCUAGAGUCUUGUAGAGGGGGGUAGAAUUCCAGGUGUAGCGGUGAAAUGCGUAGAGAUCUGGAGGAAUACCGGUGGCGAAGGCGGCCCCCUGGACAAAGACUGACGCUCAGGUGCGAAAGCGUGGGGAGCAAACAG
This 208-nucleotide ribosomal RNA is filed under the name uncultured bacterium. RNAcentral's name for it is "partial 16S ribosomal RNA". It matches the Rfam family "Bacterial small subunit ribosomal RNA", at positions 568 to 775 of the family's 1533-position model. The record is from RNAcentral.